GGUGCAGGCGGUUUUUCAAGUCGGAUGUAAAAUCUCCCGGCUUAACUGGGAGGGAUCAUUCGAUACUGUUGGGCUAGAGGGCAGCAGAGGAAAGUGGAAUUCCCGGUGUAGUGGUGAAAUGCGUAGAUAUCGGGAGGAACACCAGUGGCGAAGGCGGCUUUCUGGGCUGUUUCUGACGCUGAGGCCCGAAAGCGUGGGGAGCGAACAGGAUUAGAUACCCUGGUAGUCC
Molecule: ribosomal RNA, 229 nt
Filed under: uncultured bacterium
Lineage: Bacteria
Description: partial 16S ribosomal RNA
Rfam family: Bacterial small subunit ribosomal RNA
Source: RNAcentral